This 82-nucleotide transfer RNA is filed under the name Ailuropoda melanoleuca (giant panda). It matches the Rfam family "tRNA". From Rfam's summary of the family: Transfer RNA (tRNA) molecules are approximately 80 nucleotides in length. The record is from Rfam by way of RNAcentral. Lineage: Eukaryota; Metazoa; Chordata; Mammalia; Carnivora; Ursidae.
GCUCAGUUGGUUAAGCGUCUGACUCUUGAUUUCAGCUCAGGUCAUGAUCUUGGGGUUGUGGGAUUGAGCCCCACACUGGGCU